AUGAAUCUUUUCUCACAUUGUCUUCCAUCUCUUUGCACAAUCCAUCCUCAUUGCACCGAAGUCUGCUCUUUCCAUCUUUUAUAGAUGCUCUCAUAGAUUCCUUGAAAGAUGAAAAGUUCCCAAAUUUGUCUACAACCAAGACAAUCAGUAGCUUCUCAAGAUGACUCAAAUGUGGUCAGAAGAAGAGCCCUCUCUGGCAUAAAGGUCUAUGCAAAAGCCCAGCUAUUGCAGAAAGUUUAAAGAAUGGGAGUGGCCUAGUAAGACUUCCGCUAAGUGUUGUGCUCUGCUUGUUUUUCAGUUAACAAAAGUACCAUGCUUUAGCAGCUAUCACCUUUCUAUCAAGGUUCUAGAAAAUGUAUCUCGCCAAAAACUUGACAAGCGUAAAAAUAGGCGGAGACAUCCAAUUUCAAAGCCUUUUAAAAAUAGGUUUGAUUCUUGUUUCCACUUGCUUAUAUGUGGAUGAUUGGCCAAUGUUCUUCCCUUUUUCUUGAAAUUUGACAAGAUUUGGAUUCUUGUUUUCCCUUGCUUAUACGUGGAUGAUUGACCAAUGUUCUCCUUUUCUUGAAAUUUGACAAGGAAGAUUGUUAUGUUGGAUAGGGUAUGUAUUGAGAGGACUAUUGACUAUAUCAAGAAAGUAACUACUCGAUGGUGUCUCUGAGUGAUAAAUGGUCUUCUAGGCCUGAGGUAUUUUCUUGGGAACCAAUGGUAUGCCAUGAUAAUGUAGAUGUGGGAUGGUCUAGACUAUCAGAUACGAAUGUUCACGAGGGAAAGCUUCUUGGAUGUUCAUACAAUCAAAGUUGUGUUGGCGUAUGGGUUGUGAACCUCUCUGUGCGUAUUCUAACUCAUUCUAUUUGGCUUAAAAAUAUAUUUUUGCUUCUUGAGAAAACAUUAAAUGGUCACUAAAUUUGUAAAUAUAAAGUUUAAUACUAGCUGAUAUUAUGAAAUGCAGUGCAUUGAACCAUAUGCAAUUGCUAGUCCUAGAUUAAAUGAUCAUUCAUGCCAAAAGUCUACAUUAGAUGGUAAUCCAUCUAUGCCAGAUGAUAACAUAAAGUCUAGUAUGAGGAGGUUAUCAAUAUUACAGAGUUCUGAAACAAAUUCUAAGGAGACAAAAUCAUUACUAGGUAGGCUAUUUGAAUAGUUUUUAUUGCAUUUUUCAUUUUAUGUGUUUGGAGCAGGUAUGAGAUAUGAAUAUUUCUCUUUUCUGUAAUUGGAGCAUGUGCUAGCACGAGAGCACCUCUGGUCGCACCAACAUCCGUUUCUUCCUCUGUAAAAAGAAGUUUAUCAAACUUCAGUCCACAUCCAACCUUCAGACCAUCCAAGCAGAUAUGGUACCUAUGAUUGUUCCAAGAACUAGCACGAUAAUACACUUGUCCUCUGAUUUUACUAUAGACUCUGGGGUUGGUAAAACAAUGCCAUUUGAUAUCCAAUUAAAAUUUACUAAAUUUUGGAAGGUGUCAAACAUCAAAUAGAAUUCAGAUAAAACAGAUAUCCAUUCAGUCUGGAUAUUUGAGCAGUAGUAAUAUUGAACAAAAUGAAUUUCUUGGCCAAACUCCUAUUUCUUUUGGCAUUUCAACAUGUGUCAGUUGAAACAAAUAAUUUGGAUGGUGUUAAGAACUUGAUUAAAGGAAGGAUCAGGUCUAUCCAAUUUAUUCAGAGAACCACAUUUGCACUUUGAUCAGGAAAAUUGUAAGUCUGAUGCCACCUUAUUUUGUUUUGUUAGAUUAUUCAUGAUUCCAACUUAUCAAGAUUUCUUGAUAUUAUUGUUGAACGCUGUUAGUUAUAGGACAUUCUAAAGCAUACAUCAUCACUAUUCUAUGUUAUUUUGUAUUUCUCCUUCAAAUGAACUAUACUUGUAGAUAUUAAGUGAUCCUGUGAUUAAAUAUUUCUUUACAAAUCAUGGCAUAGAUAAUGAAGAGAACUUCCAGAGUGAAAUUUCAGCAUUGAUAAUUUUCAAUCUUGGUUGGACUAAUACCAAACUCCCGAGUUGGAUCUAUAUAAAUUCUUACCCUAUCAAGUGUCACCUCUAAGAAAUUAAGUAUUCAAGGAAGAAUGUAUUGAAGGUAAAAAAAAAGAAGCUUGACAUUCAAAGAAACUGGUAUAGAUAAGGUACAUUUUGUUGGACACGGGAGGAAAUCCAUUAAAAAAUCAAUCAGAUUGGUGAUGGCUGAUUUGCACACUUGCAAGAGAGAUGUCCAUGUCUUCACUAUUGUGGACAUAUUCGCCGCAUGAAUUCGACCUUAGCUAAAGGGCUAACUGAAUCAACCAUAGCCAAUCUUGACGAACCGUGUUCAAUAUUAAAUUUGUUUUCGAUUAAGUUUCAACCUCUAGGGUAUUUAAAGAAAUAUGAAAGAACAUCUAGUUCAAAUAAGUCAAUCAAGAGCUUCAGGUUUUAUGUAUUUAGAAUUACCUAAGAAAAGUAAAACAAUUCUAUUUCCUAUUACGAGUUUGAAAUUUGCAUCUUUUUCUUACACGAGAAAUAAAUCAUGCACAAUCUUCAUCAAUACCAAGUACCCUUGCAACAUUAUAUGAACAUGAUGGAUCUUCAGGUAUGUAAGGUAACUGGAAUUUAAUCUUCCUAAGUAAUUGGUUUGAAUUAUUUCCAACCUCAUUUGGUUUACGUAUGAUUUAAUCUUUAGGAGAAGAUCUUUUACAAACUCCUCAUUGACCAUGUGGAAGAAUUGCUUCCAAUUAUUUAUACACCUAUUGUCGGAGAGGCAUGCCAGACUCUAUCUUUAGGCAUCCUCAGGGCCUCUAUAUCAGUUUGAAUGAGAAGUUAUUAUGUUGCUUGACUUGCUUCCUAAUCCAAUUACUGAAAUUUAUGGAAUAAAUUGAGUUUUCAAAGGAAGGAUUCUUGAGGUACUGAGAGACUGGCCUGAAAGGAAUAUUCAAAUUAUUGUGGUCAUAGAUGGUGAGCAGAUCUUGGGUUUUGAGGAUCUUGUCUGCCAGGGCAUGGGAAUUCCUAUGGGCAAACUUGCUUUAUAUAGUGUACUUGGUGGAGUCCGUUCAUCUGCUGUGAAAGUUCUGUGAAUAAGAUGGAGCAACAUGCUAAUUGUGUGGGGAAGUAUUUAUAAGUUCUUCCUUUUGCCUUUGAAGGAAAGCAUAUCAACCUCCAGCAACCUCAAAGAAGCUUUUGUUACGACAUUCUCAGAAGGUUAAGUUGACAAGGAAACUACAAAAUGGUGUCACAACAACAGAUUCGGUUUUGACUGUCACCCAAAUGUUGAGGAAAAUAUGGAGUUGUUCGCAAGUUUGUCAAGUUCUAUGGUGAAGGAAUGGGUGGCUAUGAUUGAGGCCUAUUUGCAUCCAAACAAAAUGUUUGUUGACUAUAAGGAGCCUCAGAAGGAAAGGGUUUAUUCAUCUUAUCUAGAAUUAAACCUUGAAGAUUGUUCAGCCCUGCAUUUCAGGUCCUAAAAGGUUAAGCCUUGGGUGAAAACAAGCCUUGCCCUGGUAUUGGAGUUGUUACCAAGUAUUUUCUCAAAGGUGGCCUUCAAGAAUAUUUAAAUCAGCAAGGAUUCCAUAUAGUUGGAUAUGGUUGCACAACAUGUAUUGGAAAUUCUGCGGACCUUGAUGAGUUGGUGACUGUUGCAAUUUUAGAUUACUAGAUAUGUCAUUGAUUGUCCAAUCUUGAAGUGGCAGCAACAUCAAGCAAGAUGAAGAUAUGUAUCCAACAACCCUUGCACACCCAAUAAAGUUUGGAAAGAAAAGUCACCCUGAGUGUGCUUGAUUUUCACCGAAUAGUCUAUUAUUAUUAUCCAUUUUCUGCUCUUUCUGAUCCGGUUAAACUCUACAAUGAUCUUAGAUGGAACAUUAGUAGACCCCAAGGUUUUGAAGCAGUGAUGCGUGUUAGAUGUAGCUGGGGUCUUGAAGUUCAAGAAUACUCUGGAAAAUUUUGCAAAAGUGUUCCUAGUGAUAUUGAUCUUCCUGUGUGCACUUCUUUAUACCACUGUGUAUGGGCAACGAAGGAUUUGCGUUAUUAAUCUCUCCCUUACUUGCACUGAUAAUAUCAGCAGUUUGCAGCAGUUUGUGCCAAUCCACUAAUUUGGAUGCUCAGUUUACUUGUUUGCUCAAGCAAGCUGCAUGCAGCAUCCCUGUGAGCCCUCUUUCUCAAGUAAGGCAACAAAUCACUAAUAUCUGUAUCAACAUCCUGCAUUCCCAUAGAAAAUUUUGUGCAACAAUAUCACUAUUUGCAAGGAUGAAGUCUAUGUCGACAUCCAUUGAAUCGAAAAGGAACUUGGUUGCAGCUGUGAUGAGGUUCCAGUCGCUAGUUCCCACUAGGUGUCGAGGACAAAUAUCCUUAUUCUCUUUCUUAACCAAGAUGUCAAUCUUCUUCUGCCCUAUGUUCUUCAACAAAAUCGAAUGACCAUUCUCAAGAUUCAAGACAAUCUUGUGAUUCCCCACCAAGGGUCAUCUUCUCAAGUUCUUCAUCCUCAGUCUCGAGUGACUAAUCCUUCAGCCCUAUUGAGAGAUUGGUACCUUUAUUUAUUUGAGGGGUCCUAGAUUUUUUUUGGGAUGUGAUCUUUCGUCGGAGACAUAAUAUAGAACACAACGACAAAGGAAAAUGAAACCCUUUUAGCCAUCAUAACAGCUUAUGUACAGGGCGAGGAUGUAGCCGCUAGAGGAAGAAUGUUACUAUACACUUUUGUUAACAAUGUUGACAGUUUUCAGAAUGUGGAAUUAUUAAAUUUUCGAGGUUUACUUGAAAGAGUUAAAGGGUGUUGUGUCUGCCAUAGCUUCUCUCCAAGGUCAUUUGUUGGUUUCAUCUGGCCCUAAGAUCUCCUUGCACAAAUGGACUGGUACUGAGUUGAAUGUUAUCGCUUUCUAUGAUGCUCCUCUUUAUGUAAUGGAAUAGAAAACAUUGUCAAAAAUUUUAUCUAGUGGGAGAUAUUCACAAAAAGCAUCUAUUUUUAAAUUGGAAAGAGCAGGGUGCUCAGUUGAGCUUAUUAGCCAAGGAUUUGCUUCUCUUGAUUGUUAUGCAACUAAGUUUCUGAUAGGUGGAAGUACAUUGAGCCUUGUAGUUUCAGAUGAUAAAAAAAAUAUUCAGAUAUUCUAUAAUGCUCCAAUAACAUUAGGGUUGGAAAGGGCAGAAGCUUUUGUCUAGAGUUGAAUUUCAUGCUGGGGCCCAUGUGACAAAAUUCUUGAAGCUGUAGAUGCUCUCCAUCUCUUCUGAUCAAACCAAUAUAACUCCUGGUUAUGACAAGACCAACUGGUUCACCCUUCUAUUCAGUACACUAGAUGUGAGCAUUGGUUGUAUUGCACCAUUGGAUGAACCAUUCUGCAGACUUCAAACCCUGCAAAAAAAAAAAACUAGUAGAUGUUCCCCAUACAUGUGGCCUGAAUCCAAAAUCAUUUCAGUAGUUCCAUUCAAAUGGAAAGGCACAUCGUCCUAUCCAGAUAAUAUGGUUGAUUGUGAGCUUCUUUCCUAUGGCAUGCUAAAAGGAGGACAACUUAGUAUUCUAACUGAUCAAGUGUAAUUUGACAACGGGCCCCAGUGAUCAAGAAUGUUUUAUUGUGGACCACUACUAUCAGACCCGAUACUUUUGAGUAUACUGCCAGGGUAAUAUGCUAAAAUGCUAUUGCCAUGUGUGUAAGUCUGAGUAAGGUGCAUUUUCUUUGGAUAGAAAUACUUAUCAAAUACAUUUAUUUGUUUAGGAUAAGUCAGUUGAUGUUCGCUAGGGUGUGGAGUCAUGUAUUGUUGAAGUUCUUAGAGUCUAUGGACACAAGGCAUUAUGUGAACCUUUUUAAAAACAUUUGUUCUAAUUUUCUUGAUGACAAUGAUGACAUGGAAUAUCACCACAUUUUUCCUUCUAAUUUUGCAUACUACCAAAUGUAUGAAGGAUGUGAAGGGACCUACUUUGACAAUUGUACUUGAGUGUAAGCCAUCUAGAGUGAUUGAAGAAUUUUCAGAUUCUACAAGAGUGAUUGUGUUGGUGAUUCGACUUCUAAGUCUACUAGAAGAAUGGAAAGCUAGUAUCAAAUGUUGGCAAUGAGUGUAGACCUAGCAUAAGAUGACUUCAAUGGUGUGCUCUUCUCUCUAGUUGAGUGAUUGCUCUAGUGGUCUGACUUCCAAGUCUACCAUGAAGAGUGGAAAGCUAGUAUCAAAUGUUGGCAAUGAGUGUAGACCUAGUAGUAAGAUGACAUCAAUGGUGUGAUUUUCUCCCUAGUUGUAAGAUAACUUUAAAGUAGACAAUGCUUACUUUUGA
This is a long non-coding RNA of Zingiber officinale, 6200 nucleotides long. RefSeq lists it as uncharacterized. Lineage: Eukaryota; Viridiplantae; Streptophyta; Magnoliopsida; Zingiberales; Zingiberaceae. The transcript has 36 exons. The record is from RefSeq and is a predicted model, not a curated record.